AGUUGUUUCCGCGGGUGGCAAAAAGCUAAAUUAGCAUGACACGAGCUGAAUUAAAUGUUAAAGACUUUGAAAAUAAAAAGCUUGGCAUCAGUGCGCCAUUGACAUUUCACAGAGAUACGCUUGUUUUGGUGAGAAAUCUUUGAAAAAGAAGAGGAAUUUCAAAUGAAUAUGAAAAGUGUAUAUAGUGUGUACAUGUCAUGUGUCACAACGUCCACAGAAGGUGGCGUCUCUCCCGGGUCGGGCGGCGCUCGGCUGUCGUCGUCGUCGCCGGCCUAUUAGCUGCCACCGAUCUCUGUUUCUGUGUCAUUUGGUUAUGUCUGUUUUGGUUAGCACCUGUUUUGUGUUAGGUCGUUAGUGGGGUAUUUAGUCUGUCUGUUUUUGUUGAGGUUUGUGCGGGGUUAUUUUCGUGUCGCCCUAUUAGUAGGUUGGGGGAUUUGGUCGUCCUCUGUCACUGUCAUUUUGGGCAUUAGGGUUGCGUCCCGACUCUUUUCAGGAUUAUCUUGUUCCUGUUGUUUUGGAGUAUUGUUGCCCUGCCUUGUUUUGGUAUUUGUGGACUUAUUCAUUAAACGUGUUUUCACGUACCUCGGGUCUCCUGCGCCUGACUUCACCCUCCUGCUAUUUAGAGUGGUCUUGACAUGUCUCAAAAUCGAUGUCCAUCUUACCUCUAUAUUAUUUUAUGUCCUGUGUAUUCGAGAAGAAAGAUGACGAUUUCAACGGGAAAGUGAGCCUGUCAGCAGGUGGUCUACAGCAGGGAGCCUGCAUAGGAGUGGAGAGAAGAGGAGAAGAGAGGACAGAAGAGGAGAGAUGAGAUGAAAGGGGAGAGGACAUAGUUUGAAGAGGAGAGGAGAGGAGAGGUGAUGAAAGAGGAGACGGUGGUUUGAACAUGAUUUUGGUUAGUAGAGCCUUCCUGGUUGGAGCUCAAAUGUGCACACAGAGCUAUCAUCGACUAAACACAAACUGUACGACUUGAUCUAGACAGCGUGUUUCUUUGUCUCCGUUUUAUUAUUAUUUUUAUUAUUAGGGGUUCAGCAACGAAGCUGGUGAAACCCUAUUGUAUUUGUUGUCGUUAAUUAUUAUUUUCCUUCUGCUGAUUUAGUGAAAAAUACAAAUUCCUGUGAGAUGGUAAGGGUGCAACUUUGCAAGAUUGUAAACGGUCAAGGGCCACACCCUCUCAUGCAUAGCCAUGCAUAUUGGCCACAUGGUGGCGCUAUAACAAGCAAUUGAAAAUGCUAACUUCGAAAGGUCACGCUCACCCCGUCCGAUACAUAUACAGUUGAAGUCGGAAGUUUACAUACACCUUAGCCAAAUACAUUUAAACUCAGUUUUUCACAAUUCCUGACAUUUAAUCCUAGUAAAAAUUCCCUGUUUUAGGUCAGUUAGAUAUGUUAAUUCUCUCUACUAUUAUUCUGACAUUUCACAUUCUUAAAAUAAAGUGGUGAUCCAAAAAACAGGGCGUUUGACCUAAAACGGGAAUUUUUACUAUAAUUAAAUGUCAGGAAUUGUGAAAAACUGAGUUUAAAUGUAUUUGGCUAAGGUGU
Molecule: long non-coding RNA, 1538 nt
Filed under: Salmo salar (Atlantic salmon)
Lineage: Eukaryota; Metazoa; Chordata; Actinopteri; Salmoniformes; Salmonidae
Description: lncRNA (ENSSSAG00000103071.1)
Source: RNAcentral